RNA transcript from Nymphaea colorata (pocket water lily), 4239 nucleotides. It is a transcript of the gene named calmodulin-binding transcription activator 1-like, with no coding region annotated. Lineage: Eukaryota; Viridiplantae; Streptophyta; Magnoliopsida; Nymphaeales; Nymphaeaceae. The transcript has 13 exons. The record is from RefSeq and is a predicted model, not a curated record.
UCCUCAUUUUGCCUUUCCUCUUUCUGCCCUCAAUCAAGAAAUCAAGAAGAGUCUCUUCCUUUCGUCACAAUCUCUCUCUCUCUCUCUCUCUCUUUUGUUCUCCCUCUCUCUCGCUCGCUUCUGUUGGCAUCGGAACGAGGGAGAAAGAUAGGGGAAUCACCAUAUAGCCUUCUAGGGUUUUCGGGAACUAGCGGGAUUUCCAUUUCUUUGAUUUUGUUUGUUUUAUAUGUUUUUUCCUUUUUCCGGGCAUCACGUACGUUUGAUCCGUUCGGGCCCGGUUAGGGAUUCCCGGCCAACUGGUUCUUGUCUUGGGGAGGCGCGUCGAUUAAUCUGGCGGGUUUUCUGCACCAUUCCGGCGACCUCGUGGAUGACCGAGGGCCUUCUUGGGAAGGUUUCGCUUGUGGAUGGCUGAUAGUAGAAGAUGUGCUGUGAAUUCUCAGCUGGACAUUGGGCAGAUAUUAUUGGAGGCUCAAAACCGUUGGCUUCGUCCAACUGAAGUAUGUGAGAUACUACGCAACUACCAGAAGUUCUGUCUAACCCCAGACCCUCCCUACAAGCCUCCAGGUGGUUCACUUUUCCUUUUCGACCGAAAAGCACUUCGAUAUUUUCGUAAAGAUGGUCAUCGUUGGAGGAAGAAGAAGGAUGGGAAGACAGUGAGAGAAGCCCAUGAAAAGUUAAAGGCUGGGAGUGUUGAUGUGCUGCAUUGUUACUAUGCACAUGGUGAAGACAAUGAGAACUUUCAGAGGAGAAGUUACUGGAUGCUUGAGGGGGAAUUAGAGCAUAUUGUUCUUGUGCACUACAGAGAGGUUAAAGAGGGGAACAGGUCUGGUGUUUCUCGGUCAAUAAGUACUGAAGCAGGAGCUCAAAGUUCACUGCCUGGCAAUACAAAUUCUUCACCUGCUUCUUCUAUUCAAGCAAAUUCUGCUGCUGUGACAGCUCAAGCAUCCUUUGCAUCAAGUCCAAGCACAGCUGAUUGGAAUGGACAUGCUCAUUCUCCAGAAUACGAUGAAGCUGAAUCUGGGGAUGAUAUUGGUGCCUCUAGUAUUUCUGAAAACAUAUCUUGUUCUGGGUUUCAGAAUUCUUCUUUACAAUUGAAUGAUAGGGUUGGUAAAGAUAUUUCAGGGUGUAGAGGUUCUAUUCCCUCAUCUUUCUCUAGGGGUUUGACAAACAUAGCAGGGAUGAACAAUGGACUUCCUGAUCUUUUUAGUGUCAAUCAACUUUUUACUGGGACAUGUAUGACCAAUGAGCCUAAUGAUGCAAGCCUCAUAGCUUCUGGGCAAGCUGGUCUACCAGAGUUCUCAGCAACACAAAUUGCUGGACAGCCAUUUUGUGGAACAAAUUUGAGCCAUGGCACUGGCUCCUUUGCAUGGCCUGAGGUACAGGGUACGAGUCAAAGCUAUGGUAAUAUAGAUGGUGACAGAUUUUUUUUCAAUACUACGAAUUCCAUGGGGGAUAUGACUAGAUCUGGUUUUAAUGUUCAUCCCGGCUUACUGAAAAGUAACCAAGUUGGAGUCCAAGCACUUCCUGAACAUCCACAAGAGAUGAUGAAAGAUUCUCAUAGGUUGUUUCAGGGGCAAGCGAGUCAAGGGGAUGUGGUGGCACCUGGUAGCAUUGCUAUGGAUAGGCAAAAUCUAUCAGACAUCAGUCAUAUGAACCAGGAGCCUUUCAGUUGCCAUGAUCAUGUUCCUUCUGAAUGUCAAGUUAAUAAAUCACAUGUCAAUCCCUCUUCUUACCUGCAGACCAUUGGGAUAAAAUCUGAACCUGCUGAUUCUUCAAAAGGUCCUUUGGUUGACAAUCUGUAUAGUGAUGAAAACUUGGGCUUAAAGAAACUAGAUAGCUUUGGGAGAUGGAUGAGCAGGGAAAUUGGUGUGGACUGUGAUGAACCACUGACAGCUUCUGAUUCUGGUAACUACUGGAGUACUCUUAAUCCCCAGGUCAGUGACAAGGAUGUUUCUAGCUUGUCAGGUCAUAUGCAAUUGGAUGUUGAUCCACUGGGCCCUUCUCUUUCCCAAGAACAGUUGUUCAGUAUUAUUGAUUUUUCACCAGACUGGGCUUAUUCAGGUGUUGAGACAAAGGUUCUGAUCUCAGGGGUGUUUUUAGCAGACACAGAAUAUCGCAGGGCCGUUAAAUGGUGCUGUAUGUUUGGUGAGCUUGAAGUUUCCGCUGAGAUCUUAACAAACAAUGUUCUUCGUUGUCAAGCCCCUGUUCAUUCCCCGGGUAGAGUUCCAUUUUAUAUUACCUGCAGUAACAGGUUAGCGUGCAGUGAGGUUCGGGAGUUUGAUUAUCGGGAAAGACCUUCUGCUCUGUCGCUUCCUGUUGGAUUGAAAGGAAAUACUGAAGAUGAAACUGUUCUUCAGGUUCGCCUUGCAAAGAUGUUGGUCUUGGGCUCUGAAAAGAGGUGGCUUAGUUGCUCUCUUCAAAAUUGUGAAAAAUGUCACCUGAAAAAAGAUAUUCUUUCACUUAGAGGUGAUGAUACAAAUGAGUGGGAUGAGAUUGAGAAGUCUGUAAAGCACAUUGAUGGAAACUAUAGAAGUGCUAGGGAGCUUUUGAUGCAGAAAAUGCUCAAGGACAAGUUAUAUCAAUGGCUUGUCUGUAAAUCCCAUGAAGAAGGAAAGGGACCAAAUUUCCUGGAUGAUGAAGGGCAAGGUGUAAUCCAUUUGGCUGCUGCACUUGGCUAUGAGUGGGCAAUGGGGCCAAUUGUUGCUGCUGGUGUCAGCCCAAGUUUUAGGGAUGCACGUGGUAGGACGGGGCUUCAUUGGGCUGCAUAUUUUGGCAGAGAGGAAACAGUUGUUACACUAAUACGGCUUGGUGCUGCUCCAGGCGCAUUAGAAGAUCCGACAGCAAAAUUUCCUCAAGGGCAAACUGCUGCCGAUUUGGCUUCUAGUAGAGGACAUAAAGGCAUAGCUGGUUAUUUGGCAGAAGCAGAUCUAACUAGUCACCUUUCAUCAAUCUCAUUGAGGGAAAAUUUAAUGGAUAACGUCUCUGCCACACUUGCAGUACAGAAGGCUUUUGAAACUGUUGAGAAGCAGAGGCUUCUCCAUCCUCUUGAUGGAGACAUGAAAGAUGAAUUAUCUCUGAAGGAAUCACUUGCUGCUGUUAGAAAGUCUGCUCAAGCAGCUGCUCGGAUUCAAGCUGCCUUUAGAGUUCAUUCUUUUCGACAGAGGCAUUUGGCAGAGAGUAGUAGUGGAUCCCUUGAUAAUCCACGUGACAUACAUAAUCUGGUUAACGCAAAAAUGUCACUUAGAAAGGGCCAGUCAUCUAGCACUUUUGAUGUUGCAGCAGUCAAGAUCCAGCAAAAGUAUCGUGGAUGGAAGGCCCGCAAAGAUUUUGUGAAGAUUCGUGAGCGCAUUGUGAAAAUUCAGGCACAUUUUAGAGGGCAUCAAGUUCGCAAACAGUACAAGAAGGUGGUUUGGUCUGUGGGAAUUGUGGAGAAAGCUAUUUUACGUUGGAGACGGAAGGGGGUUGGAUUGCGUGGAUUUCGAGCAGAUAGAUCCAUCCAAAAUGCAGAAUCUGCUGGUGGAAAAAGUGACGAAUAUGAGUUCCUACGCGAUGGUCGGAAGCAGAAAGUUGCUGGUGUAGAAAAGGCACUUGCCAGAGUGCAAUCUAUGGUUCGUUACCCAGAAGCCCGUGAUCAAUACAUGAGACUUGUGACGAAUUUCCAGAAAGCAAAGGUGACCUGAUACAUUGGAUAUGACAAGUGAUACAAGCAGUUUCUUGUCUCAAAUUUGUUCAUAUUAUAUCGAGUUUGUCCCAGUUCGCUUCAACAAGCUGUAAGAUUAACCAUGUGGUGGCUUGGUAAGCUACUUGAACAGUUAAUGGAUGAUAAGGCUUCUGCAGCCGUAGUUUUGAGCUCAAAGGAAAAUAAGGAUGUACAGGCUACACAUGCGCCAAUGACAGAAUAAGCUCUAGCUAGUAGUAGCAAUAUGGUGAUGACUUUCCGCGGCUGCACGACAUUUGGGUUGUGUUUUGUAAGUAUGUCUGAUCGGUCAAAUUUAGGCACAAGCUUCUUGUGUAUGGAAAGAAGAUGGUUGUCUUUAGGUCAAUAGUCAGCUUCUCUUGUUGUAAAUUGGGCUUCGCUAAUUGAUUUACUGUUUUGGUGCCUUCAGUCUGAGUGGAUAAUGUUGUGUUACAUAGCGGCAGGUGUCUGUAAUCAACUUUACUUCACCUUGACAUUGUUUCACAUUCUUAACAAGCGGAAGUAUGAAAUAUAAUGAAUAUGCAAACGUAGACUCUUUCUCC